Molecule: ribosomal RNA, 500 nt
Filed under: uncultured bacterium
Lineage: Bacteria
Description: partial 16S ribosomal RNA
Rfam family: Bacterial small subunit ribosomal RNA
Source: RNAcentral
AUUGAACGCUGGCGGAAUGCUUUACACAUGCAAGUCGAACGGCUGCGCGGACUUCGGUCUGGCGGCCCGUGGCGAACGGGUGAGUAAUACAUCGGAACGUACCCUGUUGUGGGGGAUAACUAGUCGAAAGAUUAGCUAAUACCGCAUACGAGCUGAGGGUGAAAGUGGGGGACCGCAAGGCCUCACGCAGCAGGAGCGGCCGAUGUCGUAUUAGCUAGUUGGUGGGGUAAAGGCCCACCAAGGCGACGAUCAGUAGCGGGUCUGAGAGGACGAUCAGCCACACUGGGACUGAGACACGGCCCAGACUCCUACGGGAGGCAGCAGUGGGGAAUUUUGGACAAUGGGGGCAACCCUGAUCCAGCAAUGCCGCGUGUGUGAAGAAGGCCUUCGGGUUGUAAAGCACUUUUGUCCGGAAAGAAAUCGCGCUGGUUAAUACCUGGCGUGGAUGACGGUACCGGAAGAAUAAGCACCGGCUAACUACGUGCCAGCAGCCGCCGUAA